UUUAGUACAAAACACGCUCCAAAUUGAAAACACAGGAAAGAACCCAAAUUAAAAACCAACCCUACCAUUAUCCUCAGAACUCCCGAACGGCAAUGAAGAUGCAGACCAUCUCUGUUCCUCUAAUAUUACUGCUCUUUCGCGUGAGCACUCGGAACAAGAGGCCUUCCACUUGGGCCUUCCAAACGGCUACUUGACCGGAGAGUCUCGUAUCGAGCGGGGAAGAAAUUGGACCAGCCCAAACUCAUUGUGGAUUCCAUGGUCGACAACUUCGAGUUACCCUUCCGUAUGCUUUGCUAAAAGUAUGGCACCCAAGCUGCGUACACUCCCAUGCUUCAUUCAAGAAUCUUCCCUGAAACUGAAAAGUAUCGCUCCCAAGAAUUCACACCUGCAUGGUAUGGUAUUGACAUUCUAAUGGAUUUUAGGUAUUAGACUCGAUUUUGUUAAGUUUGUUUAGAUUGAUGUGGUGGUAAAUGGCAGGAGGAUAGGCCUAUAUUUCUGCAAUUCUAAGCGAAUGAUCCAGAUGUUUUGUUGGAGGCAGCAAGGAGAGUGGAAUCUUACUUUGAUUAUGUUGACACUAAUUUUUGGUAAUUGUUUAUCGAAUUUCCCCCAUUCAAUAGUGAAUUAUGUAUGAUAGUCUGUACAUUGCUUGAUACAUGGUAGGAAAAUAGUUUGUUUCUUAAUUUUGCCAAUUGCUAAUUAUGAUUCCAGAAGCUAAAAUAUAUUUGUGCAUUUUAUCUUGAAGUUCGAGGUGCUCUUGGUUACACUUGAAUGCCUUAAGCUAAUUUGACUUUGUUGUGUUUUGCCCGUGGAUAGUGAUUUUGAUAAUCUUGUAAGAGUUAUCACCUAUACAAUGGUGGAUCCAGGAAUUUUGUACACGCGGGCUAAAAUUUAAAAGUCGAUAUAAUAAAUUAAUACAUUAUAUUAAAGUCAACUUCAUUUAAUUUGAAGCUGUUCCCGACGAGGUUUUGAAAUAUAAAAUUCGUCUAUCACAAAAUCUAUAUCUAUCUUUUGAGCAAGUUCUUGUUCGAUUAAAAGUGUCAUACAAUCAGCAAGAAACUCAUCCUCCAUUUUGUUACGAAGAUCUGUCUUCACAUGUUUUAUUGUCGAAAAUGCUCGCCAGUAGUCGCGAUAGAAACAGGUAAAGUAAGUACAAAACGAAUCAAUCUAGUAACCAUAAUAUAAAUCUCCGAUCUUCUACUCUCAGUUAACUGUCGACAUAACUCAGCAAGUGUAGAUACUUGAAAUCGAGAUUUGGGAGAUAGUACUUGAAUGGUGUUUUUCUCUUACAUAGUAUUUGGGAAAUCUUAAAACUAAAAUGACCGAAGCUAGUUCGGUGCAAAUUGUUUUAUCCUGGACUCCUAGUUUUAUAACUAAUCUAGCUUUCUUUGGCUAUAAUUUGACCUAAAUUGGGAUAAAAGUUAUCUAGCUUUGUGAAACUUUUUGGUUAGGUUCAAACUCUUACACUGCCAUUUUAGAGAACUCAUCUAUGUAUUUGAAGUGAGGGAUUGAAGAGGAAUUGAAGUGAGGACUGAGUGUGAAGAGUGGAGAAGUGGCUUUUAUAGGGGUGGGGCGUGUGGUUGGGUUCAUGCAUUUGCAGAGGUGGUUGGUUAAGGCUGAUGGAUGAGGAUUUUUAAAUGGAGCUGGUGGUGACUGCUGAUACUGAAUAUUUUGGUUGACUUGGACAAAAUAUAUGAUUGGAUGGGCACGGGUACUAAUAUCAGUAAGAAUUAGUGAUUUAAGCCUUCCACUAGCAAGCGGACUAGACAAAUGGUUGGAUAAGAAUUAGUGAUUUAAGCCUUCAAUUUUCACUUUGCAUGUUCCUUUUUAUAAGUAGAGACACUUAUCUCUAAGUUUUUUCAUAGAAAAAUAAAUCAAUAUUAACCAGUUACUUUAGUAUAUUAUUUUGGCCUUUUUCCUGCUGCCUCAUUUCUCUCCUGCAUAUUGGCUUAGGGCCUUGGCCAUCUUAGGGGUGAGUAUAUUUCCUACGGUGACAUCAACACCUGUACGGCUCGAAGGCUCGGUCAUGAGUGUGAGAGAAAGAGAGUUCUCUUUCUCCAGCCCUCUUUUUGACUACCAAAGCUAAGCCCUUCUCAUGCUUGUAAAAUUUGGUGCUUUUCUUAUUCCUGUUCUUUCUUUCAAGCUCUGUUCUUUUCCGGGUUCUUGUAGUUUAUAGGUACGUGGCUUUUAGUUACUAGAUUCUUUUUUUGGGUUAUUUGUACUCUUUUAUUGUGAAUUUGUCUUGGGAAUUGCAUAAUUAUUGUGGGUUUUGUAUCAAGAUUUGAUUUUUGUACAAUGUUACCAUUACUUGAUCUCUGAUUACUCUUCGAAUGUGAAAUUAUUGGAUGCUAUUAUGAAAUUGCUAUCUUUACUUUUUUGGCCAUUGUAACACGCUGCUUGUGAUGCAGUGAAAUGCUGAGCUCUCCUGUGAGACGUAUAGAUGAAAUUCUUGCACUUCCUCAUUCAGCUCGUGAUUUCAAGAGUCAGAUAAGAGAUAAAAGGAGAUAAAACUUUAUGAUUUGAAGCAUAAGAAGAAAAG
Molecule: long non-coding RNA, 2536 nt
Filed under: Olea europaea subsp. europaea
Lineage: Eukaryota; Viridiplantae; Streptophyta; Magnoliopsida; Lamiales; Oleaceae
Source: RNAcentral